GGAGUUGGCCAGACAGUCGCCGCUAACCCAUCUUUUUGAUGGGCUGGGGGAGGAAAGUCCGGGCUCCAUAGGGCAGAGUGCCAGGUAACGCCUGGGCGGCGUAAGCCGACGGAAAGUGCAGCAGAGAGUAGACCGCCUAAGCCUCUUGAAAUAAACCUCAAAGGGCCGGUAAGGGUGAAAGGGUGCGGUAAGAGCGCACCGCGCGCCUGGCAACAGUGCGUGGCAUGGUAAACCCCACUCGGAGCAAGACCAAAUAGGGACCCAAAGGCGUGGCCCGCGCUGGGUCCGGGUAGGUUGCUUGAGCGCUGUGGUGACGCAGCGCCUAGAGGAAUGACUGUCCACGACAGAACCCGGCUUAUCGGCCGACUCCCCAU
Non-coding RNA from Halomonas sp., 374 nucleotides. The record is from Rfam. Lineage: Bacteria; Pseudomonadati; Pseudomonadota; Gammaproteobacteria; Oceanospirillales; Halomonadaceae.